GUAGAUUUUCGACCCGAAAGGAAGAGCUCUGAUAGGAUGAUGUACUCCACCUCCUGCGUCCAGAGCGCAUCACCUGUUUUCUUUUCUUGUUCUGUUGCAGUGUUUGAAGUUACUGUAAAAUGCACGUUGGGGUGGUGCACUUGAGAGUGCUGAAGCCUUAAGAACCCACUUGGGUCUCCGAGAUGUGGGACUUAAAACCAAGACGGACACCAGGAGAAUGAAUCGACACCAUAGAAACACCACAUGGGCUGAGAGAUGAAUCCAAGACUCUGGAGAUGUGAGUCCGCAAAGGAACCAAGACUUCUUGAAACAAAAAGAUCAAAGAAAAUGGAUGUAAAAAAAAUAAAUGAAUGAAGAGACCCCUCCACACAAAGGGUUCACUACAAACUGACAAAUCAUGUUGCUUGAAGUUUGAAAAAGAAAAAAUAAGAAGCUGCUGGAUGACAACUUAACUCUGGACUGAAAGUACUCCUCUCAUUUGCAGAUAUUUCAGGGUUUCUAAAAUUGCUUUAUUUGGUUCUGUUUUAAUCAAGAGAGAUAACACUAAGCCCUUUUUAGUCACCAAGCCACACUUCCUUUUAAACAAGGCUGGUGGUCUGAGUGGGCAGAGGACUGUGCAGGCUGUGUGCAGUCAGGCACUGAGGCCUGUAUUUCCUUGUAUAGUUUUUUUUUAACCCAACAGUAGCACGCAUACGUUGGUAAGGAAACACCUGCCCUUUUUUACUCUUUAGGGUAUCAACUUGUACUUUUACUUGUCUCUUUUUUAUUUUCACUAGUUUCAACUUUCUCAGUAUUUUUCUCCAUGUAUGUAUAUACUGUAAAUGAAAUUGUAAUACCUUGUCUGUCUUAUGA
Polypterus senegalus (gray bichir) is the source of this 852-nucleotide long non-coding RNA. RefSeq lists it as uncharacterized. The record is from RefSeq and is a predicted model, not a curated record. The transcript has 3 exons. NCBI's taxonomy places the organism in Eukaryota, Metazoa, Chordata, Cladistia, Polypteriformes, Polypteridae.